Molecule: ribosomal RNA, 389 nt
Filed under: uncultured bacterium
Lineage: Bacteria
Description: bacterial SSU rRNA
Rfam family: Bacterial small subunit ribosomal RNA
Source: RNAcentral
ACUCCUACGGGAGGCAGCAGUGGGGAAUAUUGCACAAUGGGCGCAAGCCUGAUGCAGCCAUGCCGCGUGUGUGAAGAAGGCCUUCGGGUUGUAAAGCACUUUUCAGUUCGUGAGGAAGGUAGUGUAGUUUAAUAGCUGCAUUUAUUUGACGUUAGCGACAGAAGAAGCACCGGGCUAACUCCGUGCCAGCAGCCGCGGUAAUACGGAGGGUGCGAGCGUUAAUCGGAAUUACUGGGCGUAAAGCGCAUGCAGGUGGUUUGUUAAGUCAGAUGUGAAAGCCCGGGCUCAACCUCGGAAUUGCAUUUUGAAAACUGGCAAAGCUAGAGUACUGUAGAGGGGGGUAGAAUUUUCAGGUGNAGCGGUGAAAAUGCGUAGAGAUCUGAAGGAAU